UACGUAGGGUGCGAGCGUUAAUCGGAAUUACUGGGCGUAAAGCGUGCGCAGGCGGUUUUGUAAGCCAGAUGUGAAAGCCCCGGGCUUAACCUGGGAAUGGCAUUUGGGACUGCAAGGCUGGAGUGUGGCAGAGGAGACUGGAAUUCCUGGUGUAGCAGUGAAAUGCGUAGAUAUCAGGAGGAAUACCGAUGGCGAAGGCAGGUCUCUGGGCUGACACUGACGCUCAUGCACGAAAGCGUGGGUAGCAAACAGG
RNAcentral lists this ribosomal RNA (253 nucleotides) under uncultured bacterium. RNAcentral's name for it is "partial 16S ribosomal RNA". It matches the Rfam family "Bacterial small subunit ribosomal RNA", at positions 524 to 776 of the family's 1533-position model. The record is from RNAcentral.